GACGAACGCUGGCGGCGGGCUUAACACAUGCCAGUCGAACGGGAAGGCCGGGCUUUGGUGCGGUGCGCGGGUGACGAACGGGGGAGUAACACUUGAGUUACCUACAACUGCCUGAGGGAUAACUUCAGAAAACAUGGGCUAAUACGGGGUAGGAUCUCUUGCUACAUGGUGGGGGCGGGACAGUUUCGGCGGUUGGGGAUGGACUCGCGGCUUAUCAGCUUGAUGGUGGGGUAGUGGCUGACCAUGGCUUGGACGGGUAGCCGGCCUGAGAGGGUGAGCGGCAACAUCGCGACUGAGAUACGGCCCAGACUCAUACGCGAGGCAGAGGUGGGGAAUGGUGCACUAUGGGAGGGGGCCUAAUGCAGCACCGCCGCGUGCGGGAUGACGACCAUGGGGUUGGAAUCCGAAUUCGCUUGGGCCGGAGCGUUAAUGACUGUACCGGAUGAAGAAGCCCCGGCUAACUACGUG
This 468-nucleotide ribosomal RNA is filed under the name uncultured bacterium. RNAcentral describes it as "partial 16S ribosomal RNA". It matches the Rfam family "Bacterial small subunit ribosomal RNA", at positions 28 to 507 of the family's 1533-position model. The record is from RNAcentral.